This is a non-coding RNA of Microcebus murinus (gray mouse lemur), 1441 nucleotides long. NCBI's taxonomy places the organism in Eukaryota, Metazoa, Chordata, Mammalia, Primates, Cheirogaleidae. The record is from RefSeq and is a predicted model, not a curated record.
CAUAAGCAUUCUUGUGCUCGGUGUUGUGGCAAAGAUAAAAACUACAUAUAUAUGUGGUAUACAUGUAGAAAAAAAGAAUAAACCAACCCUGCCAUUGUGGAGCUGGUAAACAUUCUGAAGAAGGCUCUGUGCUAGGUUCUGGGGAGACAGAAGAUAACAAAGGAGACAGCAGUGUCUGACCGCAUGUGCCUUACAUCCUGGUGGCUUUAUGACUUCUUUACAGGAUUGUGACUUUAAUGAAGGACUCUGAGUUUCCAAGUGUACGGAUUGUAUUUGCAUAUUUGUGUCCACAAAUGCCUACUAUGGCCCCGGCAUACGGAGAGGAGAGAUUUAGUCUCUGAAGCAAUUGAACCAGGGGGCCUCUGAAUUCAGAGACACCAGGCAUGGCUGAGAGCUUGAGUGAGGUGGCCAACUGGAAAGAGAGGGAUUACGUGAAAGGCUGCACCCUGAGUGACGAGGCGCUCAGACCGCUUUCCCUACCCCCGGAACACCAGCUGCUACGUGCAAACCUCAAUGGAAUGAUGGUGCAUCCUUCUCGGCGAAUCUCAAUGGCUGGUGCUACAGGAAGGAGGUCUCCCUACAGUGACAAGUCCCUGUAAAACCACGUGGGCUGUUGAGGAAGCCCAUAGUUGCCUCUGUUCUGGAAUCUUCCAGCACCAAGAGAAUGCCUCUUGCUUCACUUUCUGUUUGGCUUCAUGGAAUUUAAUAAUAUCAACAAUAACUUCAUAGAGUACAUUAUAUGCCAGUUUCAGCGUAAAUGUCACCUUCUAUGAGAAGCAUCUUCUGGACCAGUUAGACAGCAAACUAUGCUGGAGGCAAGAUUGGCAUCCUGUUGUGAAAGUGAAUAGCCUUCCCAGAUGUGUGUGUGAAAAGCAGCCUGCAGGGACACUCUGUGGGGAUGGCCACAACACCCCCACGCUCCUAACAAGAAGCAAUUUGGAGUCCAGUUGGACCACUGAUCAGGUCACUUCAUCUUAGUCCUAGGUCCCUCCCCUAUUUUGAUGGUGGAAGCUUUGGCUAGAACAGAUGCAGUCCAGGCAGACCCAUGCCUGAUGGAGCCAGCAGAUCCUUAGGCUGUGCUGGAUCAUUAAGGAGAUUUCCCGUGAAGAUCAGUUGAUGGGAACAGAAGCAGGGUUGGAGUCCUGCCUCCAGCAUUUGGACAAGUUUCUUAGUUUCUCUGACCACCAGAAUCCUGCUUUCUGAAAUGAGUAUGACACUACCAGCCUGGCAAGGCCAUUUGGAAGAUCAAAUGGGAUGGAUGACUUAUGUGGAAGUUAUUAAACAACUGUAAAGCAUUAAUCUGAUAUUCUUGUUAAAAUGCCAUUCCUUUUUACCUUAGUAUUGGGCACACCUGCCUCCCUUCUAGCUGUCUCAUGACUAAACCCCACUACACCAUUUACCAGACCUCACAGGAAAUGUUUCCAUUUGUGCUGGGAGUUUG